RNAcentral lists this ribosomal RNA (463 nucleotides) under Vibrio sp. 2145. Its description in RNAcentral is "bacterial SSU rRNA". It matches the Rfam family "Bacterial small subunit ribosomal RNA", at positions 993 to 1455 of the family's 1533-position model. The record is from RNAcentral. Lineage: Bacteria; Pseudomonadati; Pseudomonadota; Gammaproteobacteria; Vibrionales; Vibrionaceae.
GAAGCCAGCGGAGACGCAGGUGUGCCUUCGGGAGCUCUGAGACAGGUGCUGCAUGGCUGUCGUCAGCUCGUGUUGUGAAAUGUUGGGUUAAGUCCCGCAACGAGCGCAACCCUUAUCCUUGUUUGCCAGCGAGUAAUGUCGGGAACUCCAGGGAGACUGCCGGUGAUAAACCGGAGGAAGGUGGGGACGACGUCAAGUCAUCAUGGCCCUUACGAGUAGGGCUACACACGUGCUACAAUGGCGCAUACAGAGGGCAGCAAGCUAGCGAUAGUGAGCGAAUCCCAAAAAGUGCGUCGUAGUCCGGAUUGGAGUCUGCAACUCGACUCCAUGAAGUCGGAAUCGCUAGUAAUCGUGAAUCAGAAUGUCACGGUGAAUACGUUCCCGGGCCUUGUACACACCGCCCGUCACACCAUGGGAGUGGGCUGCAAAAGAAGUGGGUAGUUUAACCUUCGGGAGGACGCUC